CAAUAGCGUAUAUUAAAGUUGUUGCAGUUAAAAAGCUCGUAGUUGAACCUUGGGUCUGGCUGGCGGGUCCGCCUCACCGCGUGCACUUGUCCGGCUGGACCUUUCCUUCUGGAGAACCUCAUGCCCUUUACUGGGUGUGUUGGGGAACCAGGACUUUUACUUUGAAAAAUUAGAGUGUUCAAAGCAGGCCUUUGCUCGAAUACGUUAGCAUGGAAUAAUAGAAUAGGACGUGCGAUCCUAUUUUGUUGGUUUUUAGGAUUGCCGUAAUGAUUAAUAGGGAUAGUCGGGGGCAUCAGUAUUCAAUUGUCAGAGGUGAAAUUCUUGGAUUUAUUGAAGACUAACUACUGCGAAAGCAUUUGCCAAGGAUGUUUUCAUUAAUCAGUGAACGAAAGUUAGGGGAUCGAAGAUGAUUAGAUACCGU
This 421-nucleotide ribosomal RNA is filed under the name uncultured eukaryote. RNAcentral's name for it is "SSU rRNA". It matches the Rfam family "Eukaryotic small subunit ribosomal RNA", at positions 592 to 1018 of the family's 1831-position model. The record is from RNAcentral.